RNAcentral lists this ribosomal RNA (267 nucleotides) under uncultured bacterium. RNAcentral describes it as "partial 16S ribosomal RNA". It matches the Rfam family "Bacterial small subunit ribosomal RNA", at positions 29 to 320 of the family's 1533-position model. The record is from RNAcentral.
AUUGAACGCUGGCGGCAUGGCUAAAGCAUGCAAGUCGAACGGACCCGCAAGGGUCAGUGGCGAAAGGGUCAGUAAUACGAUCGAACGUACCCUGAGGUGUGGGAUAGCCGCGGGAAACUGCGGGUAAUACCACAUGUGCUCUACGGAGGAAGGCCGCAAGGCGCCUCGGGAGCGGCGAUCGUCCUAUCAGGUAGUUGGCGGGGUAACGGCCCACCAAGCCGAAGACGGGUAGCGGGUGNGAGAGCACGGCCCGCGACAUCGGGGACU